GAAGGUGGGGCUAAUGACUGGGGUGAAGUCGUAACAAGGUAGCCGUACCGGAAGGUGCGGCUGGAUCACCUCCUAACAGGGAGACAACAAAAUGUUUAAUAUUAUUAUUUUGUCACCUUAGGUCGAUCGGUAUCUCACAUUCUUAUUUAUUGAGGAUUUCAAUUCCUAAGUUUUUUCUAGGUCACACCCAUUACUUUUCCUGGGCCAUUAGCUCAGGUGGUUAGAGCGCACCCCUGAUAAGGGUGAGGUCCCUGGUUCAAGUCCAGGAUGGCCCAUAUCUCUAUGUUGGGGGUAUAGCUCAGCUGGUAGAGCGCCUGCUUUGCAAGCAGGAUGUCAGCGGUUCGAGUCCGCUUACCUCCACUGAUUACCGCCUCUUUCAUAAUCAAUAGAAAGGAAAUGUUUUGAGUUGUGAUCAAAUUCUGAACGAUUCUAGCUUCCUAAUGAAAUCAUUAAGAUGCUGGACUCAUUGAAUUAAUUUCAUUGUUUUCAGAGAACCUUGACAACUGCAUAGAUUAUUUUUAAAGACAAUAAGCAUCUUUAAUGAUGCAGAUUUAUUAUUUGUGCGAAUGCAUUAAUAACAAUUCUAUUAAGCUGAUGCUUCAAUUUUUGAAGUUAUUGGUCAAGCUACAAAGGGCUCACGGAGGAUACC
This 649-nucleotide unclassified non-coding RNA is filed under the name uncultured Prochlorococcus sp. RNAcentral describes it as "partial may contain 16S ribosomal RNA, 16S-23S ribosomal RNA intergenic spacer, and 23S ribosomal RNA". The stretch from base 288 to 360 matches the Rfam family "tRNA". The record is from RNAcentral. Lineage: Bacteria; Bacillati; Cyanobacteriota; Cyanophyceae; Synechococcales; Prochlorococcaceae.